UACAGAGGGUGCGAGCGUUAAUCGGAAUUACUGGGCGUAAAGGGUGCGUAGGCGGUUCGCUAAGUUGGAUGUGAAAACUCUGGGCUUAACCCAGAGCCUGCAUCCAAUACUGACGAGCUAGAGUUCUGGAGGGGGUAGUGGAAUUCCUGGUGUAGCGGUGAAAUGCGUAGAUAUCAGGAGGAACACCGGUGGCGAAGGCGGCUACCUGGACAGAGUCUGACGCUGAGGCACGAAAGCUAGGGGAGCAAACAGG
Molecule: ribosomal RNA, 253 nt
Filed under: uncultured bacterium
Lineage: Bacteria
Description: partial 16S ribosomal RNA
Rfam family: Bacterial small subunit ribosomal RNA
Source: RNAcentral